GAAAAGGGAAUUAGGUGCAAUCUGUAGUUCUGAUUAGAAAACCUGAAGCCUGAUAUGCUUUAUUUUAUUUAUUUGGAGAUACAGCAUAGGACAGACCUUUCUGGCCCAACAAAUUAUACUAACCAGCAACCCACCUAUUUAAAUUCUAGCUUAAUCACAGGACAAUUUACAAUGACCAGUUAACCUACUAAGUGGUACGUGUUUGGAAUGCGGGAGGAAACCCUGCAGUCAUGAGGAAACAUACGAAUUCCUUAUAGUCUGCACCCAAACUGAACUCCAAUACUCCAAGCUGUAAUAGCAUCACCCUAACCACCAUGCUACAUGGUGCCCCUUCUCUUACUGGUAUGCAGAACUGGAUUAUAAAGAUAAAACAUAUCUUUACUUGUGUUAGCAAACAAAGGUGCAGUCUCUCAUCGUCUUAUACUGUCAGUUUAUUCAGGUCAUCUCUUGGUACAUUUCAUACAACAUACACCUUGGUAAAACCCACUAUCAGAUACCAUUCCUUAGUCAGUAGGAAAGGGUAGCAGGAGAUGUGCUACAUUAUUGGAGAAUGCUGUAGAAGAGCGACAGAAAUUCAUCAAAACUUUGUUAGAAUCAAGUUUUGUCUCUAGUUGGAAUCUCAAAUUCAGUGUUUCUUUGUUGGUGUGUUUAAAGUCCACAGACAAAUAACAAGAUGGAUACUAAGACUGGCAGAUUCAAUAUAUCCAAUUUAAUUAAAAAAGGCCUGAACAGGAUUUUCUUUUGUUGAAUUUGAGUUUAAGGUAGCUUUUCAAAUUAAGAAACUGAGCCUGGUGCCAGAAGAUAACCCCAAGAGCCACCAAAAGGAAAAUUAAUGACAAGAUGGGUGAAGAGAAGAUGAAAUAAGCUGCAGCUGCCUGACUGGAAAGGAAAUGUGCAAAUAGGACCAGACAAUGUCACACCUGCUGGACCCUUACAAUUGGAAUAAUAAUUUAGAAAACAGCUAAAUUAGAGACAUUACAACAAGAAAUAUGAACACACCGAAGUUGAUUCCUUUGGCUUUGGAACGCCUAAAAGUUCAUGUGCAUAGAGGGACUCCUCCAGGAUUCGCUCA
This is a long non-coding RNA of Mobula hypostoma (lesser devil ray), 1072 nucleotides long. RefSeq lists it as uncharacterized. NCBI's taxonomy places the organism in Eukaryota, Metazoa, Chordata, Chondrichthyes, Myliobatiformes, Myliobatidae. The transcript is spliced from 3 exons. The record is from RefSeq and is a predicted model, not a curated record.